GACUUCGACAUGAAUUUUGGCAUUAAAAUGUAUAAAAAAUAAAGUUAAAGAAAUCUAGCACAGCUUCUGCCGAGUGUCCCCCAGGAGCCGAAUAAGUUUCGCCAAAAAGCAUAAACAAUCGCUACCUGUAUUAUGGCCAAACUUUUCCUCCGAAACUUUAUCGGAAAGAUUUGGGCCGCUCCUUGAAUGGAAUUUAUGGCCAAGCAAUGGUUAAAACUCGACUUUAAUCGAAUCUGAACAGAUGCAAGGGGUCU
This is a long non-coding RNA of Drosophila ananassae, 254 nucleotides long. RefSeq lists it as uncharacterized. The transcript is spliced from 2 exons. NCBI's taxonomy places the organism in Eukaryota, Metazoa, Arthropoda, Insecta, Diptera, Drosophilidae. The record is from RefSeq and is a predicted model, not a curated record.